GUUAUUUUCCUUUUCUCAGAUAAGGAAAGGAAAAAGGAAUUUGUUAAGAGUUUUGUGAUUAUUUGAGAAAGUGCAAUGGGGAUUUAUUGGAGAAGUGAUAUGCGACUAUCUCUGUAUUCGUCGCUCACUCUUGUGAAUGCCGAAACUACCAAUGGCGUAAUCCCAAGCAACCACUCCAAUUCCCUAAUUCCCCCAAUCAUUGCAAUCCCUAAAUAUAAUUUAUUCAUUCUUUGUCAGACUGGCAAUUUAGUAUUGAUUUAUCCAGUGACGCAUCCUCACCACGCACUUCGAGUGCAGAUAGGAUUACUGCAUAGUAUAUUGGAACGUGACAAACAUUGAUCGAUGUAAUCACCCCCCAAUUCGAUUGUUACGUUCACGGCCAAGUUUGGAUCGCGAAUGGGGUCGGCUUCCUAUACGACGUCGUCCAAGUUGCUUUUCCGGCAGCUCUUUGAGAAGGAGUCGUCCACCUACACUUACCUUCUCGCUAAUGCUUCUCACCCGGAUAAACCAGCUCUGGUUCACUUCUAUGACUUGAUUGAUUUUCUCAUGAUUAAGUUUUUAUCUCGCAUUUUGCUUUUGAGUUUUGUGGGUUAAUUAGAUUGUCGCAAUGUGAGUCGAGUCAAUGCGUUUUGGGUUUCUGAGGUUUAAUGAGGUAUAUUUGUAUUAGUUGGUGUUUCUAUUUAUUUUGGUCAAGUUUGAAGCAUUUCUGAAAUUUCAAUAAUUGUCUU
Molecule: long non-coding RNA, 728 nt
Organism: Salvia miltiorrhiza (redroot sage)
Lineage: Eukaryota; Viridiplantae; Streptophyta; Magnoliopsida; Lamiales; Lamiaceae
Exons: 2
Source: RefSeq, a predicted model, not a curated record